UAUGUAUAUUAAACAGUAUCAAGGAUAUUUAUAGUACAGAGAGAUAGAGAGAGAGGUUGCAUGGGGUCGUGGUCAUUUCCGCUGGAAGUGAGAACCCAGCUGUUAGGGUAGAGCCUGCACCAAUCUUUUGUCUUUUUUAGCGCUGGCUUUGCGCUCUUUUUUACUCUUCUUAUAACUCUGCCAUACCAUGUCAUUCUCACUCAAAAUCACCACCACCAAUCCCCAUCUCUCUCUCUCCCUCUCCCUCUCACUCUCUCUUAAUGGUCGGCGACACACUUGGGGGGAGACACACACUCUUCCUCAGAGUUGAAGAUCAUGAUAUGUGAAGAUGGGGAAGCCUUGUUCUUUUGAGGGGAAUGUUGUCUGGCUCGAGGACAAUUUGUUUGAUCCUUUUUUUGUUACCUGUAGUCAAUCUAAAUAUACGGCUACCAUAGCUGAUAACUCGUGAUAAUAUGUGGAUCAUGUUUAGUGUCGUCGGACCAGGCUUCAUUCCCCCCAAUUUUAUGCUUCCAUGGAUCUAUGCCAGGGCUUUGAUCAUGGGCUACAUGCAAAGGUCUGUCUUCUUUCCUUUUUCUUUCUUUAAUAUACUGUAGUGGGUAAAGUUUAGGGAAUCAUUGGCAUCAUGGGUUUUUGUUUCUAGAGCGAUUACGGAUGUUAUUUAUGUGCAGAUUGGUGUAAUGAUGGAGUAUUUUGACUAUCUGUUUGCAUCGUUACUCUUUUUUAUUUCCUUCUUCUGAUCACGUUAUGAUGUUCUUGUCAGUCUAAGCCCUUUUAUCGGAUCGAUCAUUACAAAGAUUUUCCUCGUGAUGCCUUUCAGUAUCUGAUCUGUCUGUUUCUGCUAUUUUCUUUUUCAGAUCUGGUUUUGAAAUUUGCUAAACAUUCCCCUCCUUUUCUCUCUCCUAGGGUUUUAUUGUUAAUUAGAUUUUGACACUGAUCUCAAAAUCAUUCCAAAAUAAAUCUGUCGUAAAAGGCAUGAUAAGCUAUCAUAUGUACAAACUGAAAAAGCAAGCUGCUUAUGAUACCCUUCCCUGUCGAUGUUUAAAUUGUCCAUUUUCUUAUUUGUUGAAUAAAUAUCGUUGGAAGGUUAGGCAUUCCUAGAUAGUUAUGAGUAAUUUUUAGAUAUAUGUUCAAGACUAUUUUAUCUCCGGAGGUAAAUAACUUAUAUGGAGAGCUUUGUAUUCUCCGCCCGGCCCUUUGAUUUUACACUUGCGCUUUUGAUGAAAGAAAAACAAUGGCCUUUACAGAGUGCAAGUAAGAUACAACAAAUUCAGCAGUAUCUAGGGCUUUGGUUCGUGUUUAAGCUUGACAGGGUCAUGAUUUGUGCAGAUUACUCCUUAAUUAAUUUUGUGUUGUUGUGCAUCUUCCUUACAUCUUAUGAUAUUCCCCUUUCUCUGUACAUGUAUCAUUUGUAAUUUUGCAAAGCCUGCAUGUGUAACGUGUUGAUUUAUGCGUAUAUAUGCUGGUAAUGUGCUUGUGAGAGAAUGAGUUUUGAAGAAAGCUAGCAACUUGCCUUGGUCUUGAAACAUUGGUCAUUCUUAAAAAAUGUCACAUUCCUCCUUAUCCUUCUGUGAUUCUAUCCUUUUGAAUCAUGUUUUCCUUCUGAUUUUUGAGCACUAAAGCAUCACUAGAUUCUGAAAGUAGUAGAAGAACAAAAAUGAAAAGCAAGUCUUUCAGCAUUAAGCAGGUGGAACAUGCCUCUAAAAACAUAGGAAAAAGAAAUUGAUUUGUGCCAAUUCGAAGUCAAAAGGCCAGAGAUCAGCAAUUACAGGUUACUUGAGGUGGAAACACAUACAGAUUAACUGCUCAUUAUAAUUUACAUGAAACGUCUGAUGUGUCCAUUGUUAUUUUUCAUCGCACUCUGAUAAAUUUUGCAAGAAAUUAGUAUUUCCUCGAGAUCGAGAGUCGUGAUCAUGAUACUGGAAAUGUAUUGGACUUACCAAUUUCUAGAGCCCAUUGUACGAUUUGUAUGGGUUUAUGCUUCGGUAAGAAAUUGCGGCCCUUUUAACUAUAUAUAUAUAUAUAUAUAUAUGGAAAUGUU
This is a long non-coding RNA of Juglans microcarpa x Juglans regia, 2038 nucleotides long. RefSeq lists it as uncharacterized. The record is from RefSeq and is a predicted model, not a curated record. NCBI's taxonomy places the organism in Eukaryota, Viridiplantae, Streptophyta, Magnoliopsida, Fagales, Juglandaceae. The transcript has 2 exons.